Molecule: ribosomal RNA, 1440 nt
Filed under: metagenome
Description: bacterial SSU rRNA
Rfam family: Bacterial small subunit ribosomal RNA
Source: RNAcentral
AGAGUUUGAUCCUGGCUCAGAACGAACGCUGGCGGCAGGCCUAACACAUGCAAGUCGAACGAUGUAGCAAUACAUAGUGGCGCACGGGUGCGUAACGCGUGGGAAUCUUCCCUUAACUACGGAACAACAUCGGGAAACUGAUGCUAAUACCGUAUAAUGACUCCGGUCCAAAGAUUUAUCGGUUAAGGAUGAGCCCGCGUCUGAUUAGCUAGUUGGUGAGGUAACGGCUCACCAAGGCGACGAUCAGUAGCUGGUCUGAGAGGAUGAUCAGCCACACUGGAACUGACACACGGUCCAGACUCCUACGGGAGGCAGCAGUGAGGAAUAUUGGACAAUGGGCGCAAGCCUGAUCCAGCCAUGCCGCGUGAGUGAUGAAGGCCUUCGGGUUGUAAAGCUCUUUUAACUGUGAAGAUAAUGACGGUAGCAGUAGAAAAAGCCCCGGCUAAAUUCGUGCCAGCAGCCGCGGUAAUACGAAUGGGGCAAGCGUUGUUCGGAAUCACUGGGCUUAAAGCGUGCGUAGGCGGAUUUGAAAGUCAGAAGUGAAAUCCCCGGGCUUAACCCGGGAAUUGCUUUUGAAACUCCAAAUCUAGAAUCCUGGAGAGGUUAGCAGAAUUCCGAGUGUAGAGGUGAAAUUCGCAGAUAUUCGGAGGAAUACCAGUGGCGAAGGCGGCUAACUGGACAGGCAUUGACGCUGAGGUACGAAAGCGUGGGUAGCAAACAGGAUUAGAUACCCUGGUAGUCCACGCCGUAAACGAUGUGUGCUAGUUGUCGGUCCCUUAGGGGCCGGUGACGCAGCGAAAGUUUUAAGCACACCGCCUGGGGAGUACGGUCGCAAGAUUAAAACUCAAAGGAAUUGACGGGGACCCGCACAAGCGGUGGAGCAUGUUGUUUAAUUCGAAGCAACGCGAAGAACCUUACCCAUUCUUGACAUAUCCUUUAGGACUUUCAGAGAUGAUUGUUUUCGGUUCGGCCGGGAGGAAUACAGGUGCUGCAUGGCUGUCGUCAGCUCGUGUCGUGAGAUGUUUGGUUAAGUCCAGCAACGAGCGCAACCCUUAUCGUCUGUUACCAUCAUUAAGUUGGGUACUCUGACGAAACCGCCGGUGACAAGCCGGGGGAAGGUGGGGACGACGUCAAGUCAUCAUGGCCCUUACGAAUGGGGCUACAAACGUGCUACAAUGGCGUUGACAGUGCGCAGCCACUUCGCAAGAAGGAGCUAAUCGCAAAAAGACGUCUCAGUUCGGAUUGUCCUCUGCAACUCGAGGGCAUGAAGUUGGAAUCGCUAGUAAUCGGCCAUCAGCAUGGGCCGGUGAAUACGUUCCCGGGUCUUGUACACACCGCCCGUCAAGUGAUGGGAGUUGGCUUUACCUGAAGACGGUGCGCUAACAAUGAGGCAGCCGGCCACGGUAAGGUCAGUAACUGGCACUAAGUCGUAACAAGGUA